RNAcentral lists this ribosomal RNA (301 nucleotides) under uncultured bacterium. RNAcentral's name for it is "partial 16S ribosomal RNA". It matches the Rfam family "Bacterial small subunit ribosomal RNA", at positions 509 to 808 of the family's 1533-position model. The record is from RNAcentral.
CAGCACCGCGGUAAUACGUAGGUGGCAAGCGUUGUCCGGAAUUAUUGGGCGUAAAGGGCUCGCAGGCGGUUUCUUAAGUCUGAUGUGAAAGCCCCCGGCUCAACCGGGGAGGGUCAUUGGAAACUGGGAAACUUGAGUGCAGAAGAGGAGAGUGGAAUUCCACGUGUAGCGGUGAAAUGCGUAGAGAUGUGGAGGAACACCAGUGGCGAAGGCGACUCUCUGGUCUGUAACUGACGCUGAGGAGCGAAAGCGUGGGGAGCGAACAGGAUUAGAUACCCGAGUAGUCCCUGUCUCUUAUACA